UAGUCAUAUGCUUGUCUCAAAGAUUAAGCCAUGCAUGUCUAAGUACAUCGAACAAAAAGUGAAACCGCGAAUGGCUCAUUAAAUCAGUUAUAACUGAGCUGACUUAGACUCGUGGGGGCAACCCUUACGUACUAUAUGGAUAACUGUGGCAAUUCUAGAGCUAAUACAUGCAACAUGCCUAGCGAGGGAGGCAACUCCCUCCAGGUGCUCUUAUUAGACUGACUGGCCGUCGCGCGCGCACUUGUGUGUGUGUGGCGGACAGGAGGUGACUCUGAAUAAGCCGGCAGAUCCUCGGCCUCGCGCCGGGGACAGUCAGGAAGUUACCUGCCUUAUCAAUUGUCGACGGUAGGGUAGUGGCCUACCGUGGUGAUAACGGGUAACGGGGAAUCAGGGUUCGAUUCCGGAGAGGGAGCCUGAGAAACGGCUACCACAUCCAAGGAAGGCAGCAGGCGCGCAAAUUACCCAAUUUUAGACUUUGUACCAGUCUCUAAAGAGGUAGUGACGAAAAAUAACAGUGCGGGCCUCUUGUUGAGGCCCCGUAACUGGAAUGAGCACAGUUACAAAUUCUUUAACGAGUAUCAAUUGGAGGGCAAGUCUGGUGCCAGCAGCCGCGGUAAUUCCAGCUCCAAUAGCGUAUGCUAAACUUGUUGCGGUUAAAAAGCUCGUAGUUGGUGUUGACUUGGGUCUCGCUAGGCCGGACCGAUUGAUUUCGGGCCGCCUGACUUGAUCUGAGUUGAUGCCUGAGACAAAUUACAGACCCCGUACGCUUCACUGCGUUGCGGGUGUUUGACUGACGAUGGCCGAUUACUUUGAAUAAAGCUAAGUGCUUAAAGCAGGCGAGACGCCGCCUGAAAGAAAACGCAUGGAAUAAUGAAAUAUGGUACCCGUUAGACACUAGCUUCGGCUAGGGUCUGAUAUAGUACAAUGAUUAAAAGGAACAAACGGGGGCAUUCGUAUUGCGCGGCUAGAGGUGAAAUUCUUGGACCCCCGCAAGACGGACUACAGCGAAAGCAUCUGCCAAGGAUGUUUUCAUUAAUCAAGAACAAAAGUUAGAGGUUCGAAGGCGAUUAGAUACCGCCCUAGUUCUAACCAUAAACGAUGCCGACCAGCAAUCUGGUGUGCGGCUGGUAAUGUGGUUGCCCUCUACCUGCUUACUCUUUCUCCUCUCACGGGGAGUUGGGUUUGUGGGGACGAGGGAAGCCCGCCGACGCCGCCAGGAAGCUUUUACCUGGGGAAACCAGAGAUGGGUUCCGGGGGAAGUAUGGUUGCAAAGCUGAAACUUAAAGGAAUUGACGGAAGGGCACCACCAGGAGUGGAGCCUGCGGCUUAAUUUGACUCAACACGGGGAAACUCACCCGGCCCGGACACUAGAAUGAUUGACAGACUGACAGCCCUUUCUUGAUAUAGUGGGUGGUGGUGCAUGGCCGUUCUUAGUUCGUGGAGCGAUUUGUCUGGUUGAUUCCGAUAACGAACGAGACUUUCUUACUGUAGGAGGGCACCCGUAUUACGCGCGGGCUGCUAUCUCCGUCGGCUGCCGUCAAAAAGCAGUCGACUCGAGACAAAAUACUUACUACAACCAAAUAAUAAGGAGACAACCGGGGAAAGAUUAAAUCUGAAACCGUAGUAAGCUGAAAGCAAUAACAGGUCUGUGAUGCCCUUAGAUGUCCGGGGCCGCACGCGUGCUACACUGAAGCGGACAGUGUGAGCCAUGCUUGACUCUCGUAGCCAAACAGCCCCACCUGAAAAGGUUCUUAACUGGGGAACCCACCCAACCCGCCUCGUGCUAGGGACUGCGCAAUGUAACUAUGCCCACGAACGAGGAAUUCCCAGUAGGCGUGGGUCAUCAGCCCGCGUCGACUACGUCCCUGCCCUUUGUACACACCGCCCGUCGCUACUACCGAUUGAAUGAGUUAGUGAGGUCUUUGGACCGGGUGGUGCUCGCAAGAGCUCCGCCUGGAAAGAUGCCCGAACUUGCUCAUUUAGAGGAAGUAAAAGUCGUAACAAGGUUUCC
RNAcentral lists this ribosomal RNA (2011 nucleotides) under Bdellidae sp. SKPG006. Its description in RNAcentral is "bacterial SSU rRNA". It matches the Rfam family "Eukaryotic small subunit ribosomal RNA". Lineage: Eukaryota; Metazoa; Arthropoda; Arachnida; Trombidiformes; Bdellidae. The record is from RNAcentral.